Molecule: transfer RNA, 48 nt
Filed under: Leptobrachium sp. Lsp.-My
Lineage: Eukaryota; Metazoa; Chordata; Amphibia; Anura; Megophryidae
Description: partial tRNA-Val
Source: RNAcentral
GCCUUUCGUUUACACCGAAAUCAUGCCUAAUAAAACUAGGUCACUCUG